GCCGGGCGUGGUGGCGGGCGCCUGUAGUCCCAGCUACUCGGAGGCUGAGGCGGGAGAAUGGCGUGAACCCGGGAGGUGGAGCUUGCAGUGAGCCGAGAUCGCGCCACUGCACUCCAGCCUGGGUGACACAGCGAGACUCCGUCUCAA
RNAcentral lists this small RNA (147 nucleotides) under Cercocebus atys (sooty mangabey). RNAcentral describes it as "Metazoan signal recognition particle RNA". Lineage: Eukaryota; Metazoa; Chordata; Mammalia; Primates; Cercopithecidae. RNAcentral also lists the same sequence under 1 other name. The record is from Rfam by way of RNAcentral.